This is a non-coding RNA of Eubacteriaceae bacterium CHKCI005, 349 nucleotides long. It matches the Rfam family "transfer-messenger RNA". From Rfam's summary of the family: Bacterial tmRNA, also known as 10Sa RNA or SsrA, is named for its dual tRNA and mRNA-like properties. Its role is to liberate the mRNA from a stalled ribosome. NCBI's taxonomy places the organism in Bacteria, Bacillati, Bacillota, Clostridia, Eubacteriales, Eubacteriaceae. The record is from Rfam.
GGGGAUGCAAUGGCUUUCGACGGGGAUUGUGAACCAUGAGUAGCGAGUAGCGGUGCGGAACCGCUUUAAAAGCCGCAAACUAAACAAUAACUGACAACAAUCAAGUUGCCUACGCAGCCUAAUUAGGCUGCCGUCUCUACUGGGAGUACCGCGGCCCAGAUAGAGGCGUCGAUGAGCGGUGCACGUGAACAGGUGAGUGCUCUGUAACCUGUCAUGAUUUAAGAGCUACCGUAACGUCUAGCCUGCCGAUCGGCGAGAUGUGAGGGGAAUCUUAAAAGACCGGCUGUACUCGAAGAAGCUUAUGGGAAUCGAUUUUCGGACAGGGGUUCAAUUCCCCUCAUCUCCACCA